UACGUAGGGUGCGAGCGUUAAUCGGAUUUACUGGGCGUAAAGCGUGCGCAGGCGGCCCGUUAAGACAGGUGUGAAAUCCCCGGGCUCAACCUAGGAAUUGCGCUUGUGACUGGCGGGCUCGAGUACGGUAGAGGGGGGUGGAAUUCCUGGUGUAGCAGUGAAAUGCGUAGAGAUCAGGAGGAACACCGAUGGCGAAGGCAGCCCCCUGGGCCUGUACUGACGCUCAUGCACGAAAGCGUGGGGAGCAAACAGG
Molecule: ribosomal RNA, 253 nt
Filed under: uncultured microorganism
Description: partial 16S ribosomal RNA
Rfam family: Bacterial small subunit ribosomal RNA
Source: RNAcentral